UACGUAGGGGGCGAGCGUUGUCCGGAUUUAUUGGGCGUAAAGAGCUCGUAGGUGGUUCGCUAAGUCGGAUGUGAAAUCUCCAAGCUCAACUUGGAGCGGUCAUUCGAUACUGGCGUGACUUGAGUACGGUAGGGGACCACGGAAUUCCUGGUGUAGCGGUGAAAUGCACAGAUAUCAGGAGGAACACCGGUGGCGAAGGCGGUGGUCUGGGCCGUAACUGACGCUGAGGAGCGAAAGCAUGGGGAGCGAACAGG
This 254-nucleotide ribosomal RNA is filed under the name uncultured bacterium. RNAcentral's name for it is "partial 16S ribosomal RNA". It matches the Rfam family "Bacterial small subunit ribosomal RNA", at positions 524 to 776 of the family's 1533-position model. The record is from RNAcentral.